UACGGGGGGGGCAAGCGUGGUUCGGAAUUACUGGGCGUAAAGGGCUCGUAGGCGGCCAACUAAGUCCGACGUGAAAUCCCAAGGCUUAACCUUGGAACUGCGUCGGAUACUGGAUGGCUUGAAUUCGGGAGAGGGAUGCAGAAUUCCAGGUGUAGCGGUGAAAUGCGUAGAUAUCUGGAGGAAUACCGGUGGCGAAGGCGGCAUCCUGGACCGGCAUUGACGCUGAGGAGCGAAAGCUAGGGGAGCAAACGGG
RNAcentral lists this ribosomal RNA (253 nucleotides) under uncultured bacterium. RNAcentral's name for it is "partial 16S ribosomal RNA". It matches the Rfam family "Bacterial small subunit ribosomal RNA", at positions 524 to 776 of the family's 1533-position model. The record is from RNAcentral.